RNAcentral lists this ribosomal RNA (1884 nucleotides) under human gut metagenome. RNAcentral's name for it is "bacterial LSU rRNA". It matches the Rfam family "Bacterial large subunit ribosomal RNA", at positions 3 to 1980 of the family's 2925-position model. The record is from RNAcentral.
UCAAGCUAUAAAGAGCGCAAGGGGAAUGCCUUGGCAUCAGGAGCCGACGAAGGACGUGACAAGCUGCGAUAAGCUUCGGGGAGGAGCAAAUAUCCGUUGAUCCGGAGAUUUCCGAAUGGGGAAACCCACCAGAGCAAUACUUUGGUAUCGUGCGUUGAACAAAAUAGGCGUACGAGGGGAACGCCCUGAACUGAAACAUCUAAGUAGGGGCAGGAAAAGACAUCAACCGAGAUUCCGCAAGUAGUGGCGAGCGAACGCGGAGGAGGCCAAACCAGUGGAUUUAUUCACUGGGGUUAGGACUCGCAUCAAGAUCAGAGGUAUCUAACAGAACGGCAUGGGAAGGCCGGCCACAGAGGGUGAGAGCCCCGUAAGUGAAAGAGAAGACUGACAGCGAGGAUCCAGAGUACCGCGGGACACGUGAAACCCCGUGGGAAGACGGGUGGACCACCAUCCAAGCCUAAAUACUACCUGAUGACCGAUAGAGGAGCAGUACCGUGAGGGAAAGGUGAAAAGGACCCCGGGAGGGGAGUGAAAGAGAACCUGAAACCUUGUGCUUACAAGCACUCAAAGCACGUUAAAGUGUGAUGAGGUACUUUUUGUAGAACGGUCCGGCGAGUUAUAGUAACGAGCAAGGUUAAGCAAUUCAGUUGCGAAGCCGCAGCGAGAGCGAGUCUGAAUAGGGCGCAUGAAGUUCGUUGCCAUAGACCCGAAACCGGGUGACCUAACCAUGAGCAGGCUGAAGUGAGAGUAAAAUCUCAUGGAGGGCCGAACGCACGUUCGUUGCAAUGACCGGCGAUGACUUGUGGUUAGCGGAGAAAUUCCAAUCGAACUCGGAGAUAGCUGGUUCUCCCCGAAAUAGCUUUAGGGCUAGCGUUGAUUUAGAUUACCGGAGGUAAAGCACUGAAUGGGCUAGGGGGCGAUAAGCUUACUGAACCCUAUCAAACUCUGAAUGCCGGCUAAUUGAUGAUCAGCAGUCAGACAGUGUGAGAUAAGUUUCAUUGUCAAAAGGGAAACAGCCCAGACCUACAGCUAAGGUCCCAAAUGUAUGCUAAGUGGAAAACGAUGUGGAGUUGCAAAAACAACCAGGAUGUUGGCUUAGAAGCAGCCAUUCAUUAAAAGAGUUCGUAAUAGAUCACUGGUCGAGUGACUCUGCGCGGAAAAUAUAACGGGGCUAAGCAUGCAACCGAAGCUUAGGAUUGUCGAAAGACAGUGGUAGGGGAGCGUCGUGUACGGGGUGAAGUCUGAGCGGAAGCACAGGUGGACUGUACAGGAGUGAGAAUGCCGGAAUGAGUAGCGAGAAUUAUGUGGGAAUCAUAAUGGCCGAAAAUCUAAGGUUUCUUGGGGAAGGUUCGUCCGCCCAAGGUAAGCCGGGAGCUAAGGCGAGGCCGCAAGGCGUAGUCGAUGCACAUACGGUAGAAAUUCCGUAGCCACCGAACUUUAAACCAGAAGGACACUUGCAGAUAGCGGAACCCAGCCGUUGGUUGAGCUGGGCGAAAGGGACUGAAAUAUAGUAGGGAAGUCCGCGAUGCUGUGAGGCGAGAAAAGCUCUGGUGUAUACUAAGGUGCCCGUACCGCAAACCGACACAGGUAGAUGAGGAGAGAAUCCUAAGGCCAACGGGAGAAGGGUUGUUAAGGAACUCGGCAAAUUGACCCCGUAACUUCGGGAGAAGGGGUGCUCCAGAGAUGGAGCCGCAGAGAAUCGGCCCAAGCAACUGUUUACCAAAAACACAGGUUUGUGCUAAAUCGAAAGAUGACGUAUACGAGCUGACGCCUGCCCGGUGCUGGAAGGUUAAGAGGAGAUGUGCAAGCAUUGAAUCGAAGCCCCAGUGAACGGCGGCCGUAACUAUAACGGUCCUAAGGUAGCGAAAUUCCUUGUCAGGUAAG